CCCCAAAGGAUGGAUUUGUAAUCGCUGAUGUUCAACUAGUUACAAGCAAUUCUCCAGAGGAAAAACAGUCCCCUUUAUCAGCUUUUCGGUCCUCUUCCUCUUUAAGAAAGAAGAAUAACUCAGGGGAGAAAGCACUUCCACCCUGGCGAUCUUCUGAUAAGCACCCAACAGAUAUCAUUCGUUUUAAUUACCUAGACAACUGUGACCCCAUGGAGACUGUCUGGCAAGGAAGAAGAAAAAGAAACCAAAUGACCCCAGAUUUCAGCCGACAGUCACAUGAUAAGAAAAAUAAAUUGCAGGACAGAACUAGGCUAAGAAAAGCACAAUCAAUGAUGUCGAGGAGAAAUCCCUUCCCACUAUGUCCCUAAGUGCCAGCUCUCCCCUAAAAGUUCCAGCUCAUCUCGCCUGGCCUCCCCCUGAGUCAGUGGGACUCCCAGCCACUGCCACCACAGCUGAAAUUCUCAUGCAGCAUCUUCACAGGCACCCUGGGCCCCAAGCAUGACUCAUCCAGGUUCCAGAGCCAAAGUGGACUGAACAUGGAAAGACUUUUAUUAUAGAAAUGACAAGAUGCUUUGCACGGUGGAGAGCUGAAUUUACUUGGCUCGCAUUAGAAACUCUUUCAGCUUAAGUACUUACUGUGGUAGUGAGUCCUACGGCAUUUCAGUAAAAAGGAAUUCAUGGCAUAAAUGUGGACAGAUUUACGGAUGCAGAAACAUGAUGAUAGAUAUCAUGAGGCUGGAGAGCAAAGGGGAGAGAGAAGGUGG
Molecule: long non-coding RNA, 764 nt
Filed under: Pan troglodytes (chimpanzee)
Lineage: Eukaryota; Metazoa; Chordata; Mammalia; Primates; Hominidae
Description: long non-coding RNA NONPTRT017008
Source: RNAcentral